Molecule: ribosomal RNA, 468 nt
Filed under: uncultured bacterium
Lineage: Bacteria
Description: partial 16S ribosomal RNA
Rfam family: Bacterial small subunit ribosomal RNA
Source: RNAcentral
GACGAACGCUGGCGGCGUGCUUAACACAUGCAAGUCGAACGGAAAGGCCCUGCUUUUGUGGGGUGCUCGAGUGGCGAACGGGUGAGUAACACGUGAGUAACCUGCCCUUGACGUUGGGAUAACUUCAGGAAACUGGGGCUAAUACCGGAUAGGAGCUCCUGCUGCAUGGUGGGGGUUGGAAAGUUUCGGCGGUUGGGGAUGGACUCGCGGCUUAUCAGCUUGUUGGUGGGGUAGUGGCUUACCAAGGCUUUGACGGGUAGCCGGCCUGAGAGGGUGACCGGCCACAUUGGGACUGAGAUACGGCCCAGACUCCUACGGGAGGCAGCAGUGGGGAAUAUUGCACAAUGGGCGGAAGCCUGAUGCAGCAACGCCGCGUGCGGGAUGACGGCCUUCGGGUUGUACACCGCUUUCGCCUGUGACGAAGCGUGAGUGACGGUAAUGGGUAAAGAAGCACCGGCUAACUACGUG